GGGGGUUUAGCUUCAAAUGGGAAAACGCCUGCUUUGCAAACUAGAUGUCAUGAAUUCGAGUCUCCCUACCUCAU
This 74-nucleotide transfer RNA is filed under the name uncultured Synechococcus sp. RNAcentral's name for it is "tRNA-Ala". Lineage: Bacteria; Bacillati; Cyanobacteriota; Cyanophyceae; Synechococcales; Synechococcaceae. The record is from RNAcentral.